CACUUUUAUACAAGUUCGAAUGGGAAAAACAUGACGGAAGAACUUUCCGGUGUGACAAUCGUUAUUUUUAUUGCGGCUGGAGUACUAACAAUAUUAUUACUGUUUAUAUUUGCAAAACGACAAAUUAUGAGAUUUGCAUUACGAUCACGCCGUGGUCCUCAUAUCCCUAUCGGGCACGAUGCACGAAAGUCACUGAAAAAGGAGAUUGAAAGACGAAUAGAAGUAAUACCAAGAAUUCAAUACGAGCCGCAACUUAUUAGCGAUCCAAGAUUUAUUUUAACUCCUCGAGGACAGGUUUCACCUCAUUACUACAGAUUAAAAGCUGUAGAUGAUGUUAAGACCUUGGAAGCUGAAAUUACUAAAUAUGAUAAUUGCUUAAAAAGACAUCCAUCUGAAAAUUUACGGGCAUAUUUACUUGCCAUAUUGGCAACACCAUUAAAUGGAAGUGGACAACGAUUAAUUCAUCAGUUCUGCGACUUAUAUGAACAUGCACGACAUGAUCCAACUGAAUUUGGUGAUGAGGAAUAUCAAGUAUAUACCCGUUUAUUCCUUAAAUUAAUGGACGCGGCUCGUUUAUUAAAAUCAUAUCCAAGCAGUAGGAAAUCUAGUCCAAGUCGCACACCUAUAAAAAAAAACAUUGAAACGAAACGGAAUAUAUUAGAACCCAAGAUGAAACUACUGGAAGAUCAAACAUUGACUGGAUCACGUCCGAAUACAUUAACCGUGAUGAUGUUGGAUAAUAGCGAAACAUCUGUUUAGCAUUAUGAAAGUCGUCACAUACAACACAUGUGACGAUAUGUUUGUUCAGAAUUGUCAGUCUCUACAUCAUAUGGGAUUGCAAUAACGGAUACGUUUUUUGUUCCAACUUGCGGUUAAAUAUCGAUGUCCGUCUUAAUCGAUAAAUAUUUACUCCAUACAUUUUUAUAAUAUGAAUUAUGUCUUAAAGAAAUUAAUGCCCGAUGAAACGUGUAUUUAUAUGUAUCAGAAAUAUGAUUUGUUCUCAUAUAAUUUAACCAUUCCAUCAUCUGAAAGAGGUAUAUAAUAUCUUUAAUAGACUGUUAAUUCUAGAAUAACUAUAUAACUUUUAAUAAAGAAAAAAAAUAUUAAAUUGUUAAAUUAUCAUCCGGACGCUAGUUGGAUGGUUUUGUAUAGAAAUAAAAGUAAUCGUGAGUACCUGUGGAAUUGCAUGUUUCCAAUUCUCUCUAUCGGAAAGAAGUGUUAGAGCUUGAGGAAAUAAUUUUAUUCUGACAUUUUGCGAUUUAAUCACUAGAUCUCGUUUCAUUAACAUGGAGUCUAUGCCAGACAAGCUUAUCACAGAGGUAAAUAAAACAGUACAAUAGAA
Molecule: RNA transcript, 1342 nt
Organism: Bombus impatiens (common eastern bumble bee)
Lineage: Eukaryota; Metazoa; Arthropoda; Insecta; Hymenoptera; Apidae
Exons: 5
Source: RefSeq, a predicted model, not a curated record